This is a small RNA of Yersinia pestis CO92, 112 nucleotides long. It matches the Rfam family "Yersinia sRNA 224". NCBI's taxonomy places the organism in Bacteria, Pseudomonadati, Pseudomonadota, Gammaproteobacteria, Enterobacterales, Yersiniaceae. The record is from Rfam.
GAGGUUAUUGACAAAGUGCCCGCGACGGAGAGAACAGGCAGAUCGUAAAGACGCCGUAAAUACAUCCAUGUAGGCUCGAGCCGCGCCAUCCUUGCCUUGGCGCGGACGCUUU